ACACACACACACACACACACACACACACACACACACACACACAGUUUCAUCACCUCCAGCUCUCAUCUCUUCAACACGCGUUGGACAUCUGGAAGUGUGUACUUUCAACAGACACUAGCAGACUUGCGCUAGCAAGGCCAAACACAUUAUAAACGGCCUCACAGUCACACACACACACUGAGAGCACAGGCUAACAUGCUCUGGAAUGAACAUCCUUUCAAUGGCCUUGGUAAUACACAGGUGAUGUAAAGAUGGGAAAGAAACUCAGCCCAUCUAUCACGCACCAACCUCAUCAUCAUCAUCAUCAUCAUCAUCAUGAUCAUGAUCUUCUCAUUAGAUGUCAUUAGCUUCUAGCCCAUUGUCUCCAGUGAGCAAAAUUACUUGUUAAUGCUAAUGUGAGAACAUGUUGAUGUAGGCAGCCUUUACCCUGAUGCUAGUGAGGUUAAAUGCCCCGCUAGUUAAUGCCUUUACCCUGCUGCUAGUGAUGUUAAAUGCCCCGCUAGUUAAUGCCUUUACCCUGCUGCUAGUGAGGUUAAAUGCCCCACUAGCUAAUGCCUUUACCCUGAUGCUAGUGAGGUUAAAUGCCCCACUAGCUAAUGCCUUUACCCUGAUGCUAGUGAGGUUAAAUGCCCCGCUAGUUAAUGCCUUUACCCUGAUGCUAGUGAGGUUAAAUGCCCCACUAGCUAAUGCCUUUCCUUCGCCUGAGUGGUAGCCUACCCCAUAUUCAAAAGCAGAGUAGGCUAAGUUAACAAAUAUUGCCUAGG
Molecule: long non-coding RNA, 764 nt
Organism: Clupea harengus (Atlantic herring)
Lineage: Eukaryota; Metazoa; Chordata; Actinopteri; Clupeiformes; Clupeidae
Source: Ensembl